UAAAUUAAGAAUUUUAUUCCAAAAAUUAUUAUAAUGAAAAUAAAAUAUUAUAAGAUUUCAAAAUACAUCAAAACACCAAAAUUUCAUUAUAAAAAAUGACCUCAAGUUUCAAAAUCAUCAAGAUGUAACGGUUCACGAAAAAUGAUUUUUAGAAAUUCGGCAAAAUUGACACCAAUUUGUCACAAUCCGUUCAAAAUAGAGAUUUAACUAAUAUGAUACCGGGGGUGGUUUUUUGAGCAUCUUUUUCAAACUAACACCUUAUAACUCCGAAAAUUCUAAAAUAUUCAAUUUUUUUUCCAACCUUUUCGGUUAUUCAAUUCAAUCUUCAUGUGGUAGCUCUACACACUU
This 348-nucleotide long non-coding RNA is filed under the name Ananas comosus (pineapple). RNAcentral describes it as "long non-coding RNA (ACOM_LNC011835)". The record is from RNAcentral. Lineage: Eukaryota; Viridiplantae; Streptophyta; Magnoliopsida; Poales; Bromeliaceae.